CUGGGUUCCUCCACCCAUCCUCAUGUGGUGAGUGAGUACCCUGGUGCAACAGUUUAAUAAAGAUCAGGCUUACUAGCUGCUUUGCUUCUCAAUAUUCUCUGGUUGGCCUCUGUUAUUUUCUCCUAUCAAUAGGAGAAAUAGGGAACCUACUUAAGGACUCUAUAUGCACUCUUGGAUACCCCAUAACGGAAAAAGGAGCAAGUUUUUUCUAUAAGUACUUUUCCUCCUAGACUACCAGUUAAUCAAGAAAUGAGCAAUGCAAUGGUUUAUUACUUAUACCCGCAGUGAUAAGCAGGAGGAGAACAGAGAAAGGGAGAUUGGGGGAAGGGAAAGAACUUCCUCAAUAUUUUCCUGCUGGUUACUAAAGGUGGUAUAUUUUGUAGCCUGGCAUGGUGUAUGUAUAAAACUGGGAGACAGUGGCGGAGCCUUGUGGGGCUGGUGGUGGGAAGGAGCGAAAUGGACAGAGUAUGCAUGCACAUUAAACUGCCUAAUGGCAUCCAGGAGAUCGCAGGUGCAGAGAUCAGAAAAGAAGUUGUCUGAAGAGGUCACUUCCUGGGUCUCAUGAGGAAGCUGUUUUCAACAGAACCCCAGACCAAAGUGUGCAGCUGUAUUGAGGUAGCACUGGGUAUUGAAAUUUUGCGCCUGGGGCAACCAUCCCUGUAGCCCCCCCACCCUCUAUGCUACGCCACUGCUGGGAUACAACAGCGUUCAGCAACAACAACCCUAAAGGUAAAGGGACCCCUGACCAUUAGGUCCAGUCGUGGCCGACUCUGGGGUUGCGGCACUCAUCUCACUUUAUUGGCCGAGGGAGCCGGCGUACAGCUUCCGGAUCAUGUGGCCAGCAUGACUAAGCCGCUUCUGGCGAACCAGAGCAGCGCACGGAAACGCCGUUUACCUUCCCGCCGGAGUGGUACCUAUUUAUCUACUUGCACUUUGAUGUGCUUUUGAACUGCUAGGUUGGCAGGAGCAGGGACUGAGCAACGGGAGCUCACCCCAUCGUGGGGAUUCAAACUGCCAACCUUCUGAUCGGCAAGUCCUAGGCUCUGUGGUUUAACCCACAGCGCCACCUGCGUCCCUAACAACAAUCCUAACACAGCACAAUUUUCCCUUCUUGGAGUUCCCCCAUGAGGAAUGUAUAGCCUGACCAAAACUGCUGCAAUAUAUUUAGGAGUAAGUCCUAUUAAACUCAUAAGAUUGCAUGUUACAUUAAAAAGUCAAACAGUCCUCCAAGUCUCUGCCUAGGUUUAUAUCCCUGCUGGUGCUGGCAACAAAUAUCUCCAGACAUCAGGAGCCCCUUGAGGUGAUCAUUCGUUUCAGCAUUGAAUCAAUGCCUGCUGUUCCAUGCAUCUAGGUUUUUCUUAUAUCAAGUCUCCCUUCAUUUUUAUAAGGCUGUGAUUCUAAGCCUACCUACCUGGGAGUAAGUCCUAGUGAACUCAGUAGGACUCACUUCAGAGUAGACAUGGCUAAGGCUGCAGAAGCAUCUAUGAGUUUCACAGGGCAGGGGAAGCAGGAAGGGAAAUGGAAGGACAUUUAUUUAUUACCAAAGCAGUUAAUUACUUGUGUGAGUAAAUUAACCAUUAAUUUUUCAGGGUAGGUUCUCCUUUGGGUGUAAGAAGAACAAAGUGCUUCAGCCUGAAGAUCACAGACACACAUCUAGUGUGGAUACAGAGAAUACACCUGAGGACAAUUUGAUACUUGAAGAAGAUUAGUUAAGCACCAUAAGCAAAGAAGAUAUUACAGGAGAAGCAUUUGUAUCCACUGCAAAAUGACACACCAGCUACAGAAUAUGAAACCAAUUACUUUACGGCAUUCCCAGAAGCCUCAGUAAACAGGUAUGGAACGGCCAAGAAGUUAUAAAAAUGAAUGUCUAUGGAACAGGAUCAACAGAAGUUCCAACGAACAGUGAAUGAACAGUUACACAAUAAUGAGUCACAUGUCUAGUUAUGACUGAAAGCAAUGUCAGUGUGAUCAAAGACCUUUAAAUGAUGUCUGGGCAAGUUAUGGGACAGGCAGACUCCGUGCAUCUGGUAUAUCCUUCCCACUCAUCUCUCAAGAGUCCUGUUCCUUGUUUUCUUAUAAAAAAUAUAUACCCCAAAAGUCAUUCUUCCAGAUCUAGAGACUCUCUUAUAUUGGCUCAGGGAAAAUAGUCUUUUUCAUUCAUUUCCAUGCAUGAAGCAGAUCCAACGCUGGAACUUUAAAAUACCCACCCCUGCUCCCGAAAUCCAUCUUUUCAUGGAAUAAAAUAAAUAAUGCCAGUGUUGCACUUCUUUAGACUGCUAGAACCCACCAAGAAUACAAUAUAAAUCUUGAAGUUGAGCCAUACUCCAUAACUGUGUAAAGGGAUCAAUACAGAUGUCAGAAAUCAAUAAGAAAGUCAGUAUACAUCAGUGACCAUUAUUAUAAUUGAAACACAUUAUUCACAUUAUUACUCUGGGAUGCUUUCCAGGAACCAGGCUAUUUGCAUGUGUGGAGAUGGGCCAUCCAUGAAAUGAUUAGGGAAGUCCUUGUAAAUGAAUAGUUGUGUCAAGAGAAUCCUCAGAACAUUCAGAACACUGCUGAAUCAGGGAGAAUGGAACCACAUUUUAAAAAGUUGAUUGAAUUAACUAUAAAAGGACUCUUCAUGAACAAAAGAAGAAAGUAAGGCACUGUUUCACACUGAAUAUAAAUUGCCUUAACAAUUUUAUGUGUCAUCCAUUUAUCCUGCAUCUUUUCUUUGACAGGGAGCAGAAGGAGAUGCUACAGAUGCCCUCAAAAUAAUGCCUUGGCUGCCAUUAUUUUCCCAUUCUGACAAGCUAAGAAAAGAUAGAUCUAAGAACGGAUCUAUAGCCAUCCCAUUUCAGAUCAUUGUUUUAACCAUCCAUUAAAGCUACAAUAGAAUGUUUUUAUUUGCAGGCAACACUACGGUAAUUCCUGAUGAGGAAGAAAUCAUACUUACCCUGUAUAUUGGCCAGUUCUGUGUCCAGGUUUGGACACUGCAGUAUCAAUAAGGAUGCUGACCAUCUGGAAAGGGUCCAGAAGAGGGAAAAGAAGAUGUGGAGGACUGGAGAAUAUGAGGAAAGGUUGAAGGAGAUGAACAUAUUAAUCUGUAGAAGACAUUUAAGAGGUGAUAUGAUACCCAUCCUCACAUAUUCUUCUUCGGCCCUCAGCUAUCAGAAUGAUCGUGAUGUUGUGCUUCCUAACCAUCACCAUCACCAUCAAGAAAAGAGAAGACUUCUUUGAGGGUUGACCAUACUCUUUGACCUUGAAGAGG
Non-coding RNA from Podarcis lilfordi (Lilford's wall lizard), 3250 nucleotides. The record is from the annotation of a GenBank genome assembly. NCBI's taxonomy places the organism in Eukaryota, Metazoa, Chordata, Lepidosauria, Squamata, Lacertidae.